GCUGGGCAUGGUGGUUGUUGCCUGUAGUCCUAGCUACCAGGAGGCUGAGGUGGGAGGAUCACUUGAGACUAGGAGUUCCAGGCUGCAGUGAGCCAUGAUCACACCACUGCACUCCAGCCUGGGUGACAAAGUGAGAUUCUAUCUCAA
Molecule: non-coding RNA, 147 nt
Filed under: Chlorocebus sabaeus (green monkey)
Lineage: Eukaryota; Metazoa; Chordata; Mammalia; Primates; Cercopithecidae
Source: Rfam by way of RNAcentral